RNAcentral lists this ribosomal RNA (466 nucleotides) under uncultured bacterium. RNAcentral describes it as "partial 16S ribosomal RNA". It matches the Rfam family "Bacterial small subunit ribosomal RNA", at positions 28 to 507 of the family's 1533-position model. The record is from RNAcentral.
GACGAACGCUGGCGGCGUGCUUAACACAUGCAAGUCGAACGGAAAGGCCCUGCUUGCAGGGUACUCGAGUGGCGAACGGGUGAGUAACACGUGGGUGAUCUGCCCUGCACUUCGGGAUAAGCUUGGGAAACUGGGUCUAAUACCGGAUAGGAGCCAUCUUUAGUGUGGUGGUUGGAAAGUUUUUUCGGUGUAGGAUGAGCUCGCGGCCUAUCAGCUUGUUGGUGGGGUAAUGGCCUACCAAGGCGGCGACGGGUAGCCGGCCUGAGAGGGUGUACGGCCACAUUGGGACUGAGAUACGGCCCAGACUCCUACGGGAGGCAGCAGGGGGGAAUAUUGCACAAUGGGCGCAAGCCUGAUGCAGCGACGCCGCGUGGGGGAUGAAGGCCUUCGGGUUGUAAACUCCUUUCGCUAGGGACGAAGCUUUUUUGUGACGGUACCUAGAGAAGAAGCACCGGCUAACUACGUG